Molecule: long non-coding RNA, 1192 nt
Filed under: Oryctolagus cuniculus (rabbit)
Lineage: Eukaryota; Metazoa; Chordata; Mammalia; Lagomorpha; Leporidae
Description: lncRNA (ENSOCUG00000033545.1)
Source: RNAcentral
CUAUUCAUGAGAUCAUCUGAUUACACUCCAUCAACAGAAAGCACUUUUUCUAUUAGCAUGGAUGGUGUAAGGUUUCAAAGUUAGCUUCACUCUGAGGUUACUCUGCCUUAGUCCUUAGCAUUCUUAAACUGCUUUUGUCAACUUUGAAAGAUGAUUUUAAAAGUCAGCCAAGAAGAACUACUGAAAAUUGUUUGCACCCAUUAUAUAGUAAAGAUGUGUUUCUUGCUCCCUUCCCUUCUGGAGACCGGGACAUCUGGAAGCCAUGCUCCUGGAGAGAGAGGCAGAAGACUGCAGAGGAAGGGGAUGAGUGCCGGAGCCAGCCAGCCAGGGCCUCCAAUCCCAGCUGCACUGCGUGGUGUGAUUCCAGUAGCCAAGGAUUAGAGGUAACAGCUGGCUAGUGACUAGCACAAAGUUAACACUCAAUAGUUACGAGAAUUUUGUUUCUGAAGAUUAAAAUUAAAAGAAGUAUCUCUCAACUAUCCCAUACAGUGACCAUACUGUAUGUAGAUUUGUCUUUGUAUAUUUGUCUUUGAACUCAGGACACUCUUAAGGGAUACUGAUUGUGGACACUCUUAAGGGAUACUGAUUGUUAAGAUCUAUGCGGAGUUUUGAGAAAAGAAUGCUUUUUUUAAAAAAAUGAAAUAAUCUCAGUGAAGUUGUAUUUUAAGUACAGAGAAUAUUACAUUUUGCUGAAUUAUUUGCAAGUUGAAAUUGGUGUGUAACUUGAGCAUAACUAAAAACUCAAAGAAAGGAGCAAGAGAGAAAAGCUGAAUAUAUAAUAAGGAUGGGAUAAGCAACAGUGUGAAGUUCAUGAAAAGGCAAGAUGGAUGAAAUUCAAGGAACAGGUGGGAAGCUCAGCAUCAUGGGUAUGAAGUAAAAGAACACUUUGGGGAGGUUGCUUCACCUAGUGGUUUAGUUACCGUGUCCCAUAUCCUGUUGCCUGGGUUUGACUCUCAUCUUCCUGCUAAUCUGCACCCUUGAAAGCAGCGAGGAUGACUCAAGUAGUGGGUUCCUGCUGCUCAUGUGCAACAGCUAGUUUGAAUUCCUAGCUGUUACCCCGGCCCUUGUGGAUAUUUGAAAAGUGAACCAGUUGCAUGGCUUGCGCUCUCUCUCUCUCUCUCUCUCUCUUUCUCUCCCUCUCUCACUCAUAAAUUUUGUAACCUUGAGAAAUAAAAAAGAACACUCAGUAUCA